This 723-nucleotide ribosomal RNA is filed under the name uncultured Herbaspirillum sp. RNAcentral's name for it is "bacterial SSU rRNA". It matches the Rfam family "Bacterial small subunit ribosomal RNA", at positions 22 to 738 of the family's 1533-position model. The record is from RNAcentral. Lineage: Bacteria; Pseudomonadati; Pseudomonadota; Betaproteobacteria; Burkholderiales; Oxalobacteraceae.
GCUCAGAUUGAACGCUGGCGGCAUGCCUUACACAUGCAAGUCGAACGGCAGCAUAGGAGCUUGCUCCUGAUGGCGAGUGGCGAACGGGUGAGUAAUAUAUCGGAACGUGCCCUAGAGUGGGGGAUAACUAGUCGAAAGAUUAGCUAAUACCGCAUACGAUCUACGGAUGAAAGUGGGGGAUCGCAAGACCUCAUGCUCCUGGAGCGGCCGAUAUCUGAUUAGCUAGUUGGUGGGGUAAAAGCCUACCAAGGCGACGAUCAGUAGCUGGUCUGAGAGGACGACCAGCCACACUGGGACUGAGACACGGCCCAGACUCCUACGGGAGGCAGCAGUGGGGAAUUUUGGACAAUGGGGGCAACCCUGAUCCAGCAAUGCCGCGUGAGUGAAGAAGGCCUUCGGGUUGUAAAGCUCUUUUGUCAGGGAAGAAACGGUUUUGGCUAAUAUCCAAGACUAAUGACGGUACCUGAAGAAUAAGCACCGGCUAACUACGUGCCAGCAGCCGCGGUAAUACGUAGGGUGCAAGCGUUAAUCGGAAUUACUGGGCGUAAAGCGUGCGCAGGCGGUUGUGUAAGACAGAUGUGAAAUCCCCGGGCUCAACCUGGGAAUUGCAUUUGUGACUGCACGGCUAGAGUGUGUCAGAGGGGGGUAGAAUUCCACGUGUAGCAGUGAAAUGCGUAGAUAUGUGGAGGAAUACCGAUGGCGAAGGCAGCCCCCUGGGAUAAC